Molecule: small RNA, 72 nt
Filed under: Pseudomonas sp. M30-35
Lineage: Bacteria; Pseudomonadati; Pseudomonadota; Gammaproteobacteria; Pseudomonadales; Pseudomonadaceae
Description: Pseudomonas sRNA P10
Rfam family: Pseudomonas sRNA P10
Source: Rfam by way of RNAcentral
CGUUACUGACCCUACAACAUGCCCGUCGUCAGGACACGGUACCAACCCCAUAGUCGAAGGUUCUCCUGACGU